GCCAGAGUUUGAUCCUGAGAGGGGAAGAUGUCCAUGAUGUUCCAGUCCAGUACACAAUACAGGGUAUAUACCCUCACGAGUUCCCAGUCAAAGGUAGGCUCUCUCUCAUAUGGGGUCGCCAUGUUUGGGGGUUAUGUUAGCGUUGUUCCAUUGUACUCUACGUAUUUAGUGCGGUCACCAUAGGAUAAGUCCGACUUGUAGACAAAUCACCAGUGUUUAGUGACACUGACUGGAAUGUUAAAUACGUCACCGAAUAUCUGGAGUAGCAACUUAAUACUUAAGGGGCCCAUUCAUAGGUGAAAUCAAUGGCCGCCGCCGGUAUGGUUAUAAAAGCACGUUUAUCACAAACAUGUUCUUUUCAAUUUAACAUACUUGUUUAAUUUGGGUAGUAUUACCCCUAUUUAGCAUAAAUAAAACUAUAUGAAUUGGCGUCCAUUGACCACCAGUUUUGGUCCCACCAGCGACGUUUAUGUUCCACCAAGCAAUGACGACAUGACGAGAAUGGAAGUUAAACUAUAGGCCAUGUUGAUGGAAGUGGUGAACGGAAAUGAGAGUUACACGCGUCAUAUGUUGUAUACUGAGCUUACGAGCUACAGUUGUGUACCAGUAAACAGCACACGUGUAAUAACUCCUACUUCGUUUGCUGAAAUGAGAACGCCAAGUUAUUUAAAACGUGUCGUUAACGUAAAUCUUUUAUCUAGUAUAAAAAGGGUUAGUUUGUACCUUGACGAACUCUAGUCAAGGGUAUUUUUUUGUCAAACCCAUUUCGAAAAUAACGGGGUGCGUUAAUGACCCGUGAAGCUAAAAAGUGUUCGAGCGAGCGGGCCUGUAGAUGGCUGAUUAUUGUAAUACCAACCGUUCACCGCUUUCUAUCUCGUAACGUACAAUUUACAUAUUUGACAAAUGAUCACCUAACGUUAGCUGUGACCACUGAAACGCAACACUGGACAGGAUCAUCUGUGUAUGAGUCUCUAUAAUGUGUCAACAGCUAGAAUACUUUAUACCCUCAUUUUAUUUUCACUAUUUUAUUCGAAGCGCCUCAAAAGAUUAUACAUGUUAUAAAUAUGUGUUUUAAAUAUUUUAUGUAUUUCUAUUUAUCAAAUUAGCCUUUAUUAUUCAUGAUUGGGAUAGAUUUUCACAUCCUCGUCGUAUUUACAUGAUCUUGUGUAUUAACCAACACGGCAUAAGGAUCUCUUUGAUGUUAGAAACACAUCUUUGGUAAAAUGUACCAGGUGUGAUACUGUAUGAUCUUUGAAUAUUUUAUGUAGAAACCAUCAUUUUAUUAUGCCAUAAUGACUAAAAGUUCAUGCGACUAAUAUGUUUUUUCUUAUAUGAUGCUGACGGUUUUCAAAAAUUGACUCGAGACCCUAGUACCCAUCUUCGCUAGCCAAGUGUUCGUUAUACGAAGCAAACACUUGGCUAGCGAAGAUGCACGUACAAUUGACGAGGACUUGUACAAGUCUAAGAUGCUACUCCAAUAUUCACCGACGAUGACGUAUUGCACAUAGGUUUGACAAGUAUGAUUAAUCAGAAAUCAGAUAAGCCUCAUACAGUGACGUAUUGCCCUGCUUUGCCAUGUGUUCUUGACAAUAUUUUUACUUUCAGUUUUUGAGAAGUUCUAAGUCUACACAACCGCAGCCCAGUGAUGGGACGAUGUCCGUAUAACAUGAACUUGCUCAUAUAAUUGGGAGUAGUAAGUUGUUCUCCUCUGCGGAGGGACAUCCUACCACGCAAGUUCAUUCAUCAAAUACACUGUUUCUAUGUGGAUCGACGGAUCUGCCCUGGCUUCCGGUACCAAGUACGUUACGUCAGCAGGAAGGAUGACGUGUUUGAAGGUAGAGGGCGUUACCUGACUUCAGUCGGCAUGGGGUACGGAAAACGCUUGACAUUCAAGGGAGACAAACUCAACGUCAACGACUGUUUCUUUUGGUCAGACAACGACGAAGGUGGCUACGCAUUCAGCCACGAUGUUCUGGAAAAGGGCGAGAAAUUUGUUCUUUACGAUUCAAACUCUCAACCAAUUGGUGACGUCAUUGUAGAAUCAGCCACGGAAUGUCCACAGAUCGAGGAAUCCAUGGAAAUCACAAAUACGCAUGUGAAGAAAACAGUUCGUGUUCGAUUUGCAUGCGUAAUCAAUUAUCAUACCCGUUUCCAUGGUAACUUGGUAGAAGUG
Molecule: unclassified non-coding RNA, 2173 nt
Filed under: Mizuhopecten yessoensis (Yesso scallop)
Lineage: Eukaryota; Metazoa; Mollusca; Bivalvia; Pectinida; Pectinidae
Description: uncharacterized LOC110451592, transcript variant X1
Source: RNAcentral